RNAcentral lists this unclassified non-coding RNA (342 nucleotides) under uncultured fungus. Its description in RNAcentral is "partial contains 5.8S ribosomal RNA and internal transcribed spacer 2". The stretch from base 1 to 134 matches the Rfam family "5.8S ribosomal RNA", at positions 22 to 154 of the family's 154-position model. Lineage: Eukaryota; Fungi. The record is from RNAcentral.
UGGCUCUGGCAUCGAUGAAGAACGCAGCGAAAUGCGAUAAGUAAUGCGAAUUGCAGAAUUUCAGUGAGUCAUCGAAUCUUUGAACGCACAUUGCGCCCUUUGGUAUUCCGAAGGGCAUGCCUGUUCGAGCGUCAUUAUCACCCCUCGGGCCCCGUGCUCGGUGUUGGACGGCCGGUUCGGGCAACCGAACCCCUCCUAAAGACAAUGACGGCGGCCUGUGGCUCCCCCGGUACACUGAGCUUUUUACGAGGCACGUACCGGGCGGCGCUCAGGACCCGGUCCUCUCCUCUCAGCAGGAAACUUCUCAUGGUUGACCUCGGAUCAGGUAGGAAUACGCGCUGA